UGUAUAUUGGGCAGAAGGUCCCCAGUUUGUCUGGAUCAGAACGGGACCUACUGUGUUUUAACAGGGACAUUGUAAAGUCAACAUCUGGAGUCAAUAUCGGCCUAUUCACAACGGCUAUUUUCUGACCUUGUUCCUGUAAAGAAUGACAGCGGGGGAAAGAAAUGGCGGAGAAAUGGUUGUGGAUGUUAAUACCACGGAGGGGAUGCUGGAGCUCACGUGGGAAAGGUGCUGGACAAGGUAAAGCUGUCUUGCUGGGUGGUGGUGGUGUUGUUGUUGUUGAUGGUUGUGGUGGAGUAGUUGUUGAUGGUGGAGUUGUUGUUGGCGGAGUUGUUGUUGGUGGUGGAGUUGUUGUUGUUGGUGGUGUUGUUGUUGUUGUUGUUGGUGGAGUUGUUGUUGUUGGUGGUGGAGUUGUUGUUGGUGGUGGAGUUGUUGUUGUUGGUGUUGGUGGUGGAGUUGUUGUUGUUGGUGGAGUUGUUGUUGGUGGUGGAGUUGUUGUUGUUGAUGGUGGUGGUGGAGUUGUUGUUGUUGGUGGAGUUGUUGUUGGUGGUGGAGUUGUUGUUGGUGGUGGUGUUGUUGUUGUUGAUGGUGGUGGUGGAGUUGUUGUUGGUGGUGGAGUUGUUGUUGGUGGUGUUGGUGGUGGAGUUGUUGUUGUUGGUGGAGUUGUUGUUGUUGUUGGUGGUGGAGUUGUUGUUGUUGUUGGUGUUGUUGUUGUUGGUGGAGUUGUUUGUGGUGGUGGAGUUGGUGGUGGUGGUG
Molecule: long non-coding RNA, 753 nt
Organism: Oncorhynchus tshawytscha (Chinook salmon)
Lineage: Eukaryota; Metazoa; Chordata; Actinopteri; Salmoniformes; Salmonidae
Source: Ensembl